Non-coding RNA from Chiloscyllium plagiosum (whitespotted bambooshark), 460 nucleotides. The record is from RefSeq and is a predicted model, not a curated record. Lineage: Eukaryota; Metazoa; Chordata; Chondrichthyes; Orectolobiformes; Hemiscylliidae.
GAUGAUUUGGAAGACGAACUGUACGCUCAGAAACUCAAGUACAAGGCCAUCAGCGAGGAGCUCGACCACGCUCUCAAUGACAUGACCUCCAUAUGAUUCCAAAACAGCGAGAAUCUAUCGCCCCCUCAGCUUUUAUUGGCGGCUCCUGCCUGCGGGACGUUGCUUUGCAUCUGUGGCACGUGGGCAAACGCUCUCGCGCUCUCUGUACAUCCCUAGUUUCUCUCAGCCACGUUUUGGCUCCGCUUGCCUGCUGCUGAGUGUGCCUUUGUACUUUGCAUUUCUUCAGUCUGGCCUCCCAUUCACUGUUCUGCGAUGCUGUAUUCUGUCUUGUCUUCCUUUCUCCAGCUCGCCGGCUUAUUGUAAUCACCUACACCCCAUUUUCCCCCCCCCCCACCAAGUCUGUGACACUUAAUGCACCUCAUCUUCCAGUCAGUACCCGAAUAAAACAUUUCAGCCUGUC